CAUCAUGCUAAUUUUUUGGAUCUGUAAAGAAAAAUAUAAAACUCAUCAUAAGCUAAAUAGCCUAGUAAGCAGUGUAUACCUUUAACUGAAUAAAUCAGGCAAUAAUACUGUACAUAUCGAUUUACUGAUAAUAACAAAAUCAAUAUGUAAAUUCAUGAAUUUAUAAUUUAAUUCAUCACACUAUCAAUCAUAUAUAAAAUUUUAAUUCAUCAUAAUU
RNAcentral lists this long non-coding RNA (217 nucleotides) under Elaeis guineensis (African oil palm). RNAcentral describes it as "long non-coding RNA (EGUI_LNC075079)". The record is from RNAcentral. Lineage: Eukaryota; Viridiplantae; Streptophyta; Magnoliopsida; Arecales; Arecaceae.